GAUGAACGCUAGCGACAGGCCUAACACAUGCAAGUCGAGGGGCAGCACGAAGUAAGCUUGCUUACUUUGGUGGCGACCGGCGCACGGGUGCGUAACGCGUGAGCAACUUGCCCGUUUCAGGGGGAUAACCGGUGGAAACGCCGACUAAUACCCCAUGGUAUGUUUUUAAGGCAUCUUUUAAACAUUAAAGAAUUUCGGAAACGGAUAGGCUCGCGUGACAUUAGCUAGAUGGCGGGGUAACGGCCCACCAUGGCGACGAUGUCUAGGGGUUCUGAGAGGAAGGUCCCCCACACUGGAACUGAGACACGGUCCAGACUCCUACGGGAGGCAGCAGUGAGGAAUAUUGGUCAAUGGUCGAGAGACUGAACCAGCCAUGCCGCGUGAAGGUGACGGCCCUAUGGGUUGUAAACCUCUUUAGUCGGGGAGCAAAAAGGAUCACGCGUGGUCCAUUGAGCGUACCCGAAGAAUAAGCAUCGGCUAACUCCGUG
RNAcentral lists this ribosomal RNA (488 nucleotides) under uncultured bacterium. RNAcentral's name for it is "bacterial SSU rRNA". It matches the Rfam family "Bacterial small subunit ribosomal RNA", at positions 28 to 507 of the family's 1533-position model. The record is from RNAcentral.